GCCGGAGUGGCGGAAUGGUAUACGCGGUGGAUUCAAAACCCGCUCCCGUAAGGGUUGAGAGUUCGAGUCUCUCCUCCGGCA
Molecule: transfer RNA, 81 nt
Filed under: Patescibacteria group bacterium
Lineage: Bacteria
Description: tRNA-Leu
Rfam family: tRNA
About the family: Transfer RNA (tRNA) molecules are approximately 80 nucleotides in length. Their secondary structure includes four short double-helical elements and three loops (D, anti-codon, and T loops). Further hydrogen bonds mediate the characteristic L-shaped molecular structure. tRNAs have two regions of fundamental functional importance: the anti-codon, which is responsible for specific mRNA codon recognition, and the 3' end, to which the tRNAs corresponding amino acid is attached (by aminoacyl-tRNA synthetases). tRNAs cope with the degeneracy of the genetic code in two manners: having more than one tRNA (with a specific anti-codon) for a particular amino acid; and 'wobble' base-pairing, i.e. permitting non-standard base-pairing at the 3rd anti-codon position.
Source: RNAcentral